CCUACGGGGGGCAGCAGUAGGGAAUCUUCGGCAAUGGACGAAAGUCUGACCGAGCAACGCCGCGUGAGUGAAGAAGGCUUUCGGAUCGUAAAACUCUGUUGGUAGAGAAGAACGUUGGUGAGAGUGGAAAGCUCAUCCAGUGACGGUAACUACCCAGACAGGGACGGCUAACUACGUGCCAGCAGCCGCGGUGAUACGUAGGAUCCGAGCACUAUCCGGAGUGACUGGGUGUAAAGAGUUGCGUAGGUUGGAUAAUAAGUAGCUAGUGGAAUCUGGUGGCUCAACCAUUCAGACUAUUAGCUAAACUGGUAAUCUUGAGACCGUUAGGGGUAACUGGAAUUUCUAGUGUAGGAGUGAAAUGCGUAGAUAUUAGAAGGAACACCAAUAGCGUAGGCAGGUUGCUGGGACGGUUCUGACACUAAGGCACGAAAGCGUAGGGAGCAAACGGGAUUAGAUACCCUAGUAGUC
RNAcentral lists this ribosomal RNA (468 nucleotides) under uncultured bacterium. RNAcentral's name for it is "partial 16S ribosomal RNA". It matches the Rfam family "Bacterial small subunit ribosomal RNA", at positions 338 to 795 of the family's 1533-position model. The record is from RNAcentral.